UGGGGUCGCUUUCGGGUCGCCCCAUAGGAACUUUAUAUAGAUAUUCUACUAUAUUCCCUUUAACUAGGCUCGUAUCACUUCCUUUAUAUAAAAGGACAAACCCGCCUUCCAUGGCACAUACAAAUGAUGCUACUACUUCCAAGAUUUGUUCCGGGAACAUCUCCAACACACCUCACGGCGGGUCUUCUCAGAUGCACACGUGCCGGCCUACGUGGCUGUACCAUGUGGGGCU
Molecule: ribosomal RNA, 232 nt
Filed under: Enterocytozoon bieneusi H348
Lineage: Eukaryota; Fungi; Microsporidia; Enterocytozoonidae
Description: 28S ribosomal RNA
Source: RNAcentral